UACGUAGGCAGCGAGCGUUGUUCGGAGUUACUGGGCGUAAAGCGUGCGUAGGCGGUUUUGUAAGUUUGGUGUGAAAUCUCCCGGCUCAACUGGGAGGGUGCGCCGAAAACUGCAAGGCUGGAGUGUGGGAGAGGUAGGCGGAAUUCCUGGUGUAGCGGUGAAAUGCGUAGAUAUCAGGAGGAACACCGGUGGCGAAGGCGGGUCUCUGGGCAGUAACUGACGCUGAGGAGCGAAAGCGUGGGGAGCGAACAGG
RNAcentral lists this ribosomal RNA (253 nucleotides) under uncultured bacterium. Its description in RNAcentral is "partial 16S ribosomal RNA". It matches the Rfam family "Bacterial small subunit ribosomal RNA", at positions 524 to 776 of the family's 1533-position model. The record is from RNAcentral.